AACGACUCUCGGCAACGGAUAUCUCGGCUCUCGCAUCGAUGAAGAACGUAGCGAAAUGCGAUACUUGGUGUGAAUUGCAGAAUCCCGUGAACCAUCGAGUCUUUGAACGCAAGUUGCGCCCUAAGCCGUUAGGCCGAGGGCACGUCUGCCUGGGUGUCACGC
Molecule: ribosomal RNA, 162 nt
Filed under: Dobinea vulgaris
Lineage: Eukaryota; Viridiplantae; Streptophyta; Magnoliopsida; Sapindales; Anacardiaceae
Description: 5.8S ribosomal RNA
Rfam family: 5.8S ribosomal RNA
About the family: 5.8S ribosomal RNA (5.8S rRNA) is a component of the large subunit of the eukaryotic ribosome. It is transcribed by RNA polymerase I as part of the 45S precursor that also contains 18S and 28S rRNA.
Source: RNAcentral